AGUGAACGCUGGCGGUAGGCCUAACACAUGCAAGUCGAACGGCAGCACAGUAAGAGCUUGCUCUUACGGGUGGCGAGUGGCGGACGGGUGAGGAAUACAUCGGAAUCUACUUUUUCGUGGGGAAUAACGUAGGGAAACUUACGCUAAUACCGCAUACGACCUACGGGUGAAAGCAGGGGAUCUUCGGACCUUGCGCGAUUGAAUGAGCCGAUGUCGGAUUAGCUAGUUGGCGGGUUAAAGGCCCACCAAGGCGACGAUCCGUAGCUGGUCUGAGAGGAUGAUCAGCCACACUGGAACUGAGACACGGUCCAGACUCCUACGGGAGGCAGCAGUGGGGAAUAUUGGACAAUGGGCGCAAGCCUGAUCCAGCCAUACCGCGUGGGUGAAGAAGGCCUUCGGGUUGUAAAGCCCUUUUGUUGGGAAAGAAAAGCAGCGGGUUAAUACCCCGCUGUUCUGACGGUACCCAAAGAAUAAGCACCGGCUAACUUCGUG
This 492-nucleotide ribosomal RNA is filed under the name uncultured bacterium. RNAcentral's name for it is "partial 16S ribosomal RNA". It matches the Rfam family "Bacterial small subunit ribosomal RNA", at positions 29 to 507 of the family's 1533-position model. The record is from RNAcentral.